AGUGCUGCCUCCAGCCCUGGGGGCUCAGCACAGGAAGGACAUGGAGCUGCUGGAGUGAGUCCAGAGGAGGCACCAAGAUGAUCAGAGGAAUGGAGCAACUCUGGAAACUAACUGAGGCAUGAGGCUUGGAAAGAAGCUCAUGAAGUCAGCUAAUCUGUCACCCAGCUCCACCAGCGGGUUACCCACAGUGCACAUGAAUCCUGAAGGAGCCCUUUCCAUCGGGGAUAGUGUGGUAGAAGACUCUGCAUAAGCCAGCCCUGGCAUAAAACCCCCAUCCCAGUGUGCUCCCACCCCUUUCUAUUUCCUCUUGAGGGAAAGUCCGUAUUCCAUGUAUGUGCCAGCACCCCCACAAUCCUGGAGGACUUCUUUUUUCUCGAGAGGGAGCAGUUCCUGCUCCAUAAAUGGCUCAGCAUCCAAGUGGGUGGACAGGUUAACAGAGGGACACGAACCUACACCCUGAAAAUGAAAAGAAAGAAAAUGGCCAGACUUGAGGUUUGACUGGCAGGGCCAAUGAGUAUCAGCAAAAAUAUCCUCCCAAAAGUGCAGACUUUGAUGAUCAGCACAAACAGGUCCUCCUGCUCUUCCAGCUCAUGCCAUCUGGGAGAGGACUUUAAGCAACACCUUACAGGAAGGGUUUAGAAGUUGGUAUGAGAUGUAUUUCCUGAGCAAGAAGCAUCUGGGUGCAAUGGUACAAUUCUGCUGCUAACUCCUCUGAGCACAGACAAGACCAGUUCCUGUGCUAACCAACCUCACCUGGAAGGCUAAGUCUGCUGAAAAGGUAUUAAUUAAGAACUAUUCACCUGGAGCCAGACUUGGUAAGUGUUUGCAUCAAUGACCAAGCCAAAUAAAGGGCAGACUAGGCACUCUGCAAGUUCUCCAUGAGCAGAGCUACCCAGGGCAGUGAAACACAUGAUGACAAGCAGUAAAUUUUCAUAUGUCCUUUGAUCCCGGUCCAGAUGCUGUUCUGCCUGUGUCAUCCACAUCACUCCAUGACCAAGCUCUGGAUGAGUGAAACUAAGUGAAGGACGGCCUGUGCUUGGGUUCCUGAGGAUGAACCAUGUACCAGCAGGUAACAGUAAGCCAGCAACGUGGGAUUAACAUUCUGGUGGCUCAUAUUUUGUCCAUCAUCGCUGACAGAGGACUUGGAGACAGAUGUCUCGCCUGCAGUGACAAAUGAACUCAUGUUUUGAAGUUAACAGCUUCCCUUGAAUUCCUCUCGUUAUUCCAUACCACAGACUGCCAUCACUUUAUGGACAUCUUAUCUUGAGCCAACCCUACCAGAAUGACUGGGUUUAAUAUUAUAUCACAAAGUGGCCGGAUGAGAUAGUGAUACGUGUCUCUCUACAUGCCAUUUCCCACAACGCCUUGAAGGCAUCAUCAUACUUUAUUUUAUGAUCAGUGGGUCACUCAUCUAUAUCUGCUUUGAAGCCACAAUAGACUUUUUGCCAAUCGCUAAUAGAAACUAAAUAAACACAGCCAAACAGUGUCA
Long non-coding RNA from Pseudopipra pipra, 1489 nucleotides. RefSeq lists it as uncharacterized. The record is from RefSeq and is a predicted model, not a curated record. The transcript has 3 exons. Lineage: Eukaryota; Metazoa; Chordata; Aves; Passeriformes; Pipridae.